RNAcentral lists this transfer RNA (72 nucleotides) under Heterocephalus glaber (naked mole-rat). It matches the Rfam family "tRNA". Rfam says of the family: Transfer RNA (tRNA) molecules are approximately 80 nucleotides in length. Their secondary structure includes four short double-helical elements and three loops (D, anti-codon, and T loops). Lineage: Eukaryota; Metazoa; Chordata; Mammalia; Rodentia; Bathyergidae. The record is from Rfam by way of RNAcentral.
GAGAAUGCAGUUCAGUGGUAGAGCACUUGCCUGACGUGUUAGAAGCCCUGGGUUCAAUCCCCAGCAUCACCA